GGACUACCGGGGUAUCUAAUCCUGUUUGAUCCCCACGCUUUCGUGCCUCAGCGUCAAUAUUCGCGUAGUUAGCUGCCUUCGCAAUAGGUGUUCUAUGUCAUAUCUAAGCAUUUCACCGCUACAUGACAUAUUCCGCUAACCUCCACGACAUUCAAGACAAAUAGUAUCAAUGGCAGUUCCCAAGUUAAGCUCAGGUAUUUCACCACUGACUUAAAUGCCCGCCUACGCACCCUUUAAACCCAGUGAAUCCGGAUAACGCUUGCACCCUCCGUAUUACCGCGGCUGCUGGCAC
RNAcentral lists this ribosomal RNA (292 nucleotides) under uncultured bacterium. Its description in RNAcentral is "partial 16S ribosomal RNA". The record is from RNAcentral. RNAcentral also lists the same sequence under 1 other name.